AUGAGCUACCGCACCCCGCCCUUAAGAAGUCUUAAAGUCAUCUAUGAUAGGCUAAUGGCACUCUUCAUGACAAGCCUGAUUGUACUGUUAAGCUCCAGAGGAAAAAAUGUGGCUACAGAGUAUAUUAAAAUACAUACAAUUGAAAAGGAAAAUGUUCAUUUUUGCAAGCAGAAGAUUACCAACAGAAUGCUAAAAUUGAAGCUAGAAGAAAGAUUUGAAGUGCCUUUACAAGGUUAUUUCCAAGGUCAUCUGUCUCUUUUUAAAAGAAAAAUAAUAUCCAAAGAAGUCCCACCACUCAGAAGACUUUUACAUUUCAUGUCUCAUUUGCCAGAAUUUCUUCUUACAAGCUCUAAACCAAUCAUGGUUAGGGUAAUGUAA
RNAcentral lists this long non-coding RNA (378 nucleotides) under Macaca mulatta (Rhesus monkey). Its description in RNAcentral is "lncRNA (ENSMMUG00000041942.2)". Lineage: Eukaryota; Metazoa; Chordata; Mammalia; Primates; Cercopithecidae. The record is from RNAcentral.